CACCGCGGUUAAACGAGAGGCCCUAGUUAAUAGUACUACGGCGUAAAGGGUGGUUAAGGAUAACAAGUAAAUAAAGCCAAAUGGCCCUUUGACUGUCAUACGCUUCUAGGUGUCCGAAGCCCAACCACACGAAAGUAGCUUUAACAAAACCAGCCUGACCCCACGAAAGCUGAGAAACAAACUGGGAUUAGAUACCCCACUAUGCUCAGCCAUAAACCUAGAUGUCAUAGUACAAUCAGACAUCCGCCAGGGUACUACGAGCAUCAGCUUGAAACCCAAAGGACCUGACGGUGCCUUAGACCCCCCUAGAGGAGCCUGUUCUAGAACCGAUAACCCCCGUUAAACCUCACCACUUCUAGCCAUCCCAGCCUAUAUACCGCCGUCGCCAGCUUACCCUGUGAAGGCAGCAAAAGUAAGCAAAAUGGGCACAACCCAGAACGUCAGGUCGAGGUGUAGCGUACGAAGUGGGAAGAGAUGGGCUACAUUUUCUAUCAUAGAACACUACGAACAUGCAACAUGAAAUAGUGCUUGAAGGAGGAUUUAGUAGUAAAAAGGAAGCAGAGUGUCCUUUUGAACCCGGCUCUAAGGCGCGUACACACCGCCCGUCACUCUCCCCUGUCAAAAUGCAAUAGAGGUAAUUAACACCAGAGCACUGACAAGGGGAGGCAAGUCGUAACAUGGUAAGUGUACCGGAAGGUGCACUUGGAUUAAACUCAGGGUAUGGCUGAG
This 729-nucleotide ribosomal RNA is filed under the name Pungtungia herzi. RNAcentral describes it as "partial small subunit ribosomal RNA". It matches the Rfam family "Bacterial small subunit ribosomal RNA", at positions 513 to 1533 of the family's 1533-position model. The record is from RNAcentral. Lineage: Eukaryota; Metazoa; Chordata; Actinopteri; Cypriniformes; Gobionidae.